AACUGUUAAAGGCAAGCUCGUCGAAAGGCGGGUACGCAAAGCCAUGGGUCUAAUGCUAUUGUAGCGAUGACAGCCGGUUGCCAGG
Molecule: non-coding RNA, 85 nt
Filed under: Dethiobacter alkaliphilus
Lineage: Bacteria; Bacillati; Bacillota; Dethiobacteria; Dethiobacterales; Dethiobacteraceae
Also listed under: 1 other name
Description: c-di-GMP sequence
Rfam family: c-di-GMP-I riboswitch aptamer
About the family: GEMM was predicted in a large-scale screen for bacterial structured RNA regulatory elements. Genes associated with GEMM are involved in a diverse array of functions, including chemotaxis regulation, signal transduction, secretion and chitin.
Source: RNAcentral